GAUGAACGCUGGCGGCGUGCUUAACACAUGCAAGUCGAGCGAGAAGGAAGAUAUGGAAUCUUCGGAGGAAAUAUCUACUAGAAAGCGGCGGACGGGUGAGUAACGCGUGGGUAACCUGCCUUGUACAGAGGGAUAGCCACUGGAAACGGUGAUUAAAACCUCAUAAAACUAUAUUAUCGCAUGGUAAUAUAGUCAAAACUCAGGUGGUACAAGAUGGACCCGCGUCUGAUUAGCUAGUUGGUGAGGUAAAGGCUCACCAAGGCGACGAUCAGUAGCCGACCUGAGAGGGUGAACGGCCACACUGGAACUGAGAAACGGUCCAGACUCCUACGGGAGGCAGCAGUGGGGAAUAUUGCACAAUGGGCGAAAGCCUGAUGCAGCAACGCCGCGUGAGCGAAGAAGGCUUUCGGGUCGUAAAGCUCUGUCCUAUGGGAAGAAGAAGUGACGGUACCAUAGGAGGAAGCCCCGGCUAACUACGUGCCAGCCGCCGCCGUAACAC
Molecule: ribosomal RNA, 499 nt
Filed under: uncultured bacterium
Lineage: Bacteria
Description: bacterial SSU rRNA
Rfam family: Bacterial small subunit ribosomal RNA
Source: RNAcentral